Molecule: long non-coding RNA, 444 nt
Organism: Trichosurus vulpecula (common brushtail)
Lineage: Eukaryota; Metazoa; Chordata; Mammalia; Diprotodontia; Phalangeridae
Exons: 2
Source: RefSeq, a predicted model, not a curated record
CUGGCAAGAAUUACAGUUUUUUCUGGAGAACAUCACAACUCAAAUGACCUAGUAACAGAUGGGGAACUUCUUACUACGGCUGUUCCCUCCACCACUGUACCUGUCUGCUUCUGAUGGAGAUCCAACUACACAGAAGCAGGGUUUCCCAUUGUUUUACAACUUCAAGAGAUCCUCUCUCAAAAACUCCAGGUUGAGAGCUCGUGAUGAAUGCAAGCAGACAGACUGAGCCAUAAAGGUCACGGCAGUACGUGCAUCAACAUUGGCUACAAAAAGCUGAACAAAGAGAAAUUCUGCUAAACAACAACAACUUGAUGAGACCCUUUAAACCAGGCCAAUAUAUUCCUUGGUACUUACUGACUUCAAUGUGAUGAUGAACGUAGGAGAAGACAAUAAAAUUAUAGAAAACAUGGUUCAAGAUUAGGAAAUAAAAAAGCCUAAAGCUCA